RNAcentral lists this ribosomal RNA (499 nucleotides) under uncultured bacterium. RNAcentral's name for it is "partial 16S ribosomal RNA". It matches the Rfam family "Bacterial small subunit ribosomal RNA", at positions 30 to 523 of the family's 1533-position model. The record is from RNAcentral.
AUUGAACGCUGGCGGAAUGCUUACACAUGCAAGUCGAACGGCAGCACGGACUUCGGUCUGGUGGCGAGUGGCGAACGGGUGAGUAACAUAUCGGAACGUAUCCAAUAAUGGGGGAUAACGAGUCGAAAGAUUCGCUAAUACCGCAUACGCCCUACGGGGGAAAGCUGGGGACCUUCGGGCCUGGCGAUAAUGGAGCGGCCGAUAUCUGAUUAGCUAGUUGGUGAGGUAAAGGCUCACCAAGGCGACGAUCAGUAGCUGGUCUGAGAGGACGACCAGCCACACUGGAACUGAGACACGGUCCAGACUCCUACGGGAGGCAGCAGUGGGGAAUUUUGGACAAUGGGCGCAAGCCUGAUCCAGCCAUUCCGCGUGAGUGAAGAAGGCCUUCGGGUUGUAAAGCUCUUUCGCAAGGGAAGAAAACUUAGCCACUAACAUUGGUUGAGGUUGACGGUACCUUGAUAAGAAGCACCGGCUAACUACGUGCCAGCCGCCGCGGUAA